UGAUCGGAACUUUCAGCAUUCCUCUGUGGUCUCAUUUAUGACAUUAGCUAGCGUUGCGGCGUACAUUAUCUAGGUAAUCCAGUACACACCAGUGGGCAAUUAGCAUUAAUGUGCGAUUGGCUUGUAGUAUGUCUAUCAUUGCUGUCCUCCCAUUUGAUUGGUUCCCUAGCAAUAUAUAAUGUACACCUAGAGUCCGUUUUAGCCACGCCCCCUGACGAAGCGCAGUAGCGCGAAACGUGCGUUGGGAUCAAAGAAAUUUUGCCUGUUGACCAUAAAUUAAACCUGAGCGUGAUCUGUACUGGAAUAGAAAGCAAUACAAGUGUUACCUUCCUCUGAGACGUCUCUGUAUUUCACAACAUUUUUUUAGGUGUUCCUUACCAUCACUACAUAAUAACAAUGAAUACACCUGUUCUGGGAAAUCUAGGAGGUCUGUUAGAUAUUUUUAAUGGCUAUGCUGUGGAUGGGAUUGCAAAAGCGGAAAAAGUUGAUCAAUUUAUGAAAGAUAAUUUUGAGAAAUUGAUUGAGCAUCCAACCCAUCCAGAGGUAGUUAAAGAAUUGGUGGCCAAAGUCGACGAAGUCAAAGUAAAUGGAGUUGACAGUCUAAUAUAUGCUGGAUUAGUAUGCAAUCUCCUACAUGCUUAUAGUAAAGAUCAAGUUGGGGUUGCCGAAAAUCCAGAAACAAGUUCAUAACAAAUAUAUAAUAUGUUUGUAGAAGUUUUGUCAUGUUGAGAUUCCAAUAAAGUAACGUCAUCA
This is a long non-coding RNA of Hyla sarda, 753 nucleotides long. RefSeq lists it as uncharacterized. The transcript is spliced from 4 exons. The record is from RefSeq and is a predicted model, not a curated record. Lineage: Eukaryota; Metazoa; Chordata; Amphibia; Anura; Hylidae.